Molecule: ribosomal RNA, 407 nt
Filed under: uncultured bacterium
Lineage: Bacteria
Description: partial 16S ribosomal RNA
Rfam family: Bacterial small subunit ribosomal RNA
Source: RNAcentral
AUUGAACGCUGGCGGCAGGCCUAACACAUGCAAGUCGAGCGGAGCGGCGGACGGGUGAGUAAUGCCUAGGAAUCUGCCUGGUAGUGGGGGAUAACUACGCGAAAGCGUAGCUAAUACCGCAUACUAUUGGAGCGGCCGAUAUCGGAUUAGCUAGUUGGUGGGGUAACGGCUCACCAAGGCGACGAUCCGUAGCUGGUUUGAGAGGACGACCAGCCACACUGGGACUGAGACACGGCCCAGACUCCUACGGGAGGAAGCAGUGGGGAAUAUUGGACAAUGGGCGAAAGCCUGAUCCAGCCAUGCCGCGUGUGUGAAGAAGGUCUUCGGAUUGUAAAGCACUUUAAGUUGGGAGGCGUUACCAACAGAAUAAGCACCGGCUAACUCCGUGCCAGCAGCCGCGGUAAUAC